This 253-nucleotide ribosomal RNA is filed under the name uncultured bacterium. Its description in RNAcentral is "partial 16S ribosomal RNA". It matches the Rfam family "Bacterial small subunit ribosomal RNA", at positions 524 to 776 of the family's 1533-position model. The record is from RNAcentral.
UACGUAGGGGGCUAGCGUUGUCCGGAAUCAUUGGGCGUAAAGCGCGUGUAGGCGGCCCGGUAAGUCCGCUGUGAAAGUCGGGGGCUCAACCCUCGAAAGCCGGUGGAUACUGUCGGGCUAGAGUACGGAAGAGGCGAGUGGAAUUCCUGGUGUAGCGGUGAAAUUCGUAGAUAUCAAGCGGAACACCGGUGGCGAAGGCGGCCUUCUGGACAGUGACUGACGCUGAGACGCGAAAGCGUGGGGAGCAAACAGG